CAAGACGUAGCCUUAAACAAAGCACUCAGCUUACACCUGAGAGAUAUCUGCUCACACCAGAUCGUCUUGA
This 70-nucleotide transfer RNA is filed under the name Hirundo rustica rustica. RNAcentral's name for it is "tRNA-Val". Lineage: Eukaryota; Metazoa; Chordata; Aves; Passeriformes; Hirundinidae. The record is from RNAcentral.